This is a non-coding RNA of Paramuricea clavata, 396 nucleotides long. Lineage: Eukaryota; Metazoa; Cnidaria; Anthozoa; Malacalcyonacea; Plexauridae. The record is from the annotation of a GenBank genome assembly.
UUCCCGAGGAAGGGCCUUCGCUCAAAACGUCGAAGUUCUCCUUCUAUUUUUCAGAUAGUUGUAUCUUAUCAUUCUGAAGUUUAAUACAGCACAUAUAACAGACUUUCGCUACCGUCACCAUUAACUUGCAAGAGGUAGCGGGUGGAAGUCAAAUCUGAACCUCUCUAUUAACGAAUCAAGUGCUUUUAAUCAUAGUUUUAACGAAUCACCACAUACCUAGUGUAUACACAGAAACUACUGUAUGUCGAUGUUUGUCAGUCGUCUUUCCAAACGAGACUUGUUAAUGUAAUCAAAUUGGAAGGAAACUGAUCGGCAAGAAUAAUUCCCUUAUCACGAUUACAGUCAAGUUCAUCAAUAAAACCAAACCAAUAAAUUACCAUACCAGGACCGAAUCUA